CCUUUUCAUUUUCUUGGCCAUCAGAUCUAAACACUGCUCUGAUUAGUAAUAAAAGCAGAAAAAGUAACACUGAAACUAACUCCAAUGCUUGCAAUGCAUGAACUCAUUUCAAACAAGU
This 118-nucleotide small nucleolar RNA is filed under the name Echinops telfairi (small Madagascar hedgehog). RNAcentral describes it as "Small nucleolar RNA SNORA61 (ENSETEG00000026553.1)". The record is from RNAcentral. Lineage: Eukaryota; Metazoa; Chordata; Mammalia; Afrosoricida; Tenrecidae.